GAUGAACGCUGGCGGCGUGCCUAAUACAUGCAAGUCGAGCGAACGGACGAGAAGCUUGCUUCUCUGAUGUUAGCGGCGGACGGGUGAGUAACACGUGGAUAACCUACCUAUAAGACUGGGAUAACUUCGGGAAACCGGAGCUAAUACCGGAUGAUAUUUUGAACCGCAUGGUUCAAAAGUGAAAGACGGUCUUGCUGUUACUUAUAGAUGAAUCCGCGCUGCAUUAGCUAGUUGGUAAGGUAACGGCUUACCAAGGCAACGAUGCAUAGCCGACCUGAGAGGGUGAUCGGCCACACUGGAACUGAGACACGGUCCAGACUCCUACGGGAGGCAGCAGUAGGGAAUCUUCCGCAAUGGGCGAAAGCCUGACGGAGCAACGCCGCGUGAGUGAUGAAGGUCUUCGGAUCGUAAAACUCUGUUAUUAGGGAAGAACAUAUGUGUAAGUAACUGUGCACAUCUUGACGGUACCUAAUCAGAAAGCCACGGCUAACUACGUG
This 497-nucleotide ribosomal RNA is filed under the name uncultured bacterium. RNAcentral describes it as "partial 16S ribosomal RNA". It matches the Rfam family "Bacterial small subunit ribosomal RNA", at positions 28 to 507 of the family's 1533-position model. The record is from RNAcentral.